AAAUAUUAAUCCGACAAAGUGGAUUACGCUUUGAAAUUGUGUUCAAACCAAAGAUACUGUCCGUAUUUGGAUUGCUUGUUAAGCAGUACGUGUGGCUAGUCUAAGAGUCUCCGAGAAAAACUCAUAUUCGACGAGUCUCUGGCAAGUUUUGUAUGAGAAUUAAGCGAUGAAAGUGAUAACCACAAUUUUCUUGUGCAUCUUUUUGUUGUCUUUUAUCAUCCGUGAUGUGCUUUGUGCGAGCAUUCCUGUCACGGCGUCACCAAGACCGCCAAUGCCAAAGGGUUUUGGAACGGCGAAACGUGCCAUCAUCAUCGGUAUAGAUGGCUUGGGAGGUUCGUAUUUGAGAAAUGUAACCGAGCAUUACCACACAUUUAGAUCAUUCUUUGAACAAGGUUCCUACACAACCCGUGCAAGAG
Dendronephthya gigantea is the source of this 416-nucleotide long non-coding RNA. RefSeq lists it as uncharacterized. NCBI's taxonomy places the organism in Eukaryota, Metazoa, Cnidaria, Anthozoa, Malacalcyonacea, Nephtheidae. The record is from RefSeq and is a predicted model, not a curated record. The transcript has 3 exons.